Molecule: ribosomal RNA, 491 nt
Filed under: uncultured bacterium
Lineage: Bacteria
Description: bacterial SSU rRNA
Rfam family: Bacterial small subunit ribosomal RNA
Source: RNAcentral
AACACGCUGGCGGCGUGCUUAACACAUGCAAGUCGGACGCGAAAGGGACUUCGGUCCUGAGUAAAGUGGCGCACGGGUGAGUAACGCGUAGAUAACCUGUCUUCGAGUCUGGAAUAAUACACCGAAAGGGGUACUAAUACCGGAUAUUCUUGCAUUUCAUAAGGAGUGUAAGCAAAAGGUGGCCUCUGCAUAUGCUACUGCUUGAUGAGGGGUCUGCGUACCAUUAGCUAGUAGGUGGGGUAAUGGCCCACCUAGGCUACGAUGGUUAGCGGGUCUGAGAGGAUGAUCCGCCACACUGGCACUGGAACACGGGCCAGACUCCUACGGGAGGCAGCAGUGAGGAAUAUUGGUCAAUGGGCGGCAGCCUGAACCAGCCAUCCCGCGUGAAGGAAGAAUGCGCUAUGCGUUGUAAACUUCUUUUCAGGGGGAUAAAAUUCUGUAUGUAUACAGGACUGAAGGUACCCUGAGAAUAAGCAUCGGCUAACUCCGUG